UACGGAAGCCUCCCUUUGCAGAGGCAGACGCCCAAGGAGCAAAGCUGGCGGGAGGUCUCAGGCAGUGGAAUCGUGCUGGCCUCACAUGCCCACCGCCCGCGCGUUCCUUCCUCGUCCUUUCCGAGCCCGCUGUGCAGACUGCCAGCAAGGCAGGUUACUAUCGGGAAGAAGAAGCAAGUGCAGCAGGAGAGGAGGAAGGGCUCUCAUCUGAAGGGAAACAUCUGAACGUCAAACGACUGAGACAUUCAGGCUAGAUUCAAUGAUUCAAGACUGAGCCGAACUCCUAAUCGCCUCAUCUGUUGGUGUUCCUUUCAGAAAUUCCUGUAUAUCCUGGCUCCCCUCCUCGCCUCUUCGGAGCAGUCUCUUAGAAUUAUCUGAGAUGCCAUGUCCUGCACUUAAGUCAUCAGUUUUGUCUACCAAAUAAAGGGAUAUUUCAUGAUGAAAACAACCAACUUUUGCACUGUGGAUCUAUC
Dama dama (fallow deer) is the source of this 473-nucleotide long non-coding RNA. RefSeq lists it as uncharacterized. The record is from RefSeq and is a predicted model, not a curated record. NCBI's taxonomy places the organism in Eukaryota, Metazoa, Chordata, Mammalia, Artiodactyla, Cervidae. The transcript is spliced from 4 exons.